This 467-nucleotide long non-coding RNA is filed under the name Bos taurus (domestic cattle). RNAcentral describes it as "long non-coding RNA NONBTAT006006". Lineage: Eukaryota; Metazoa; Chordata; Mammalia; Artiodactyla; Bovidae. The record is from RNAcentral.
CUCAUUUUUCCUUAAAACCCCUGUACGUACAGAUGUCAGGCACUCUGAAAUACCUGGAUUGGAUUGUAUUUUUGUUUUAUUUCAUUUACAUUUUCUCCUUGCCACGUGCAGUCUUUCAGAGUGACCUACUUGAUCUGUAGACUAAAACUGGGAAAUGGACUUUUGAAGUCCUGUGGUACCACAUUAAAAAGCCACAGUUGUGAGAUAGGACACUUGGAUUCCAGCAUUUUGUUUUCCCUUACUGCUUGGUGUGGAACCACGUAUUUGUCUUAUCUGCACUUCACGUCUUAGUUUUCACCCUUGUUCACAGCUUUUCCCUCCUUUUCUUAUCAGAAUGGAGUAUUUGAAGCCUUUCUCUUCUGAGUUCUUGCAUUUGAAAGCCAAUUUUGCCUGAUCAUUUCCCGGUAGAAUUUCGACUAUUGGAUGGAGGUUUGCAGUAAUGCAGCUGUUGUUCAAGAAGUUGGGAA